This 433-nucleotide ribosomal RNA is filed under the name uncultured bacterium. RNAcentral's name for it is "partial 16S ribosomal RNA". It matches the Rfam family "Bacterial small subunit ribosomal RNA", at positions 29 to 507 of the family's 1533-position model. The record is from RNAcentral.
AACGAACGCUGGCGGCAGGCCUAACACAUGCAAGUCGAGCGGACCCUUCGUGGUUAGCUGCGGACGGGGGAGUAACGCGUGGGAAUAUGCCCGUCUCUACGGAAUAGUCCUGGGAAACUGGGGGUAAUACCGUAUACGCCCCUCGGGGGAAAGAUUUAUCGUGGUAGGUGUAGCACGCGUUGGAUUAGGUAGUUGGUGGCGUAAUGGCCUACGAAGCAAUGGAUAGCUAGCUGGGUAGAGAGGAAGGUCAGCCACACUGAGGCUGGGACACGGUCGGGACUCCUACGGGAGGGAGGAGUGGGGAAUCUUAGACAAUGGGGGCAACCAUGAUGGAGCCCGGCCGCGUGAGUGAUGAAGGCGUGAGGGUAGUGCAGCUCUUUCAGCUGGGAAGAUAAUGACGGUACCAGCAGAAGAAGCCCCGGCUAACUCCGUG